Molecule: ribosomal RNA, 386 nt
Filed under: uncultured bacterium
Lineage: Bacteria
Description: bacterial SSU rRNA
Rfam family: Bacterial small subunit ribosomal RNA
Source: RNAcentral
AUUGAACGCUGGCGGUAGGCCUAACACAUGCAAGUCGAACGCGAAAGUCCUUCGGAUGAGUAGAGUGGCGGACGGGUGGAGUAACGCGUAGGAAUCUAUCCUGUAGUGGGGGAGUAACGUUUCGAAAGGAACGCUAAUACCGCAUACGCCCCAACGGGGAAAGGCGGGGGAGUCUUCGGACCUCGUGCUAUAGGAGGAGCCUGCGUCGGAUUAGCUAGUUGGUGAGGUAAAGGCUCACCAAGGCGACGAUCCGUAGCUGGUCUGAGAGGAUGAUCAGCCACACCGGAACUGAGACACGGUCCGGACUCCUACGGGAGGCAGCAGUGGGGAAUUUUGGACAAUGGGCGCAAGCCUGAUCCAGCCAUGCCGCGUGCGGGACGAAGGCC